UCAACAAGGCCAACUGUUUUAUUCUCCCUGGGAAUGAAACACUUAUCCCUGACAAUGAAGAAAAAGAAAUGAAGGAAACAUUCAGAGAAGUGACAGACAUCCUCAUACAACAGCAGGCUGAGAUGAACCCAGCAGAUGACACAAGCAGGGAUGCCCUCAGCUUGCAGGCAAGGAUGUGCUGUGUUCGUGAUGCCUCUGGGCGCACACAUGGGUCCUGGCUGUUCAGCAUCAGUGGACAGAAAUCUCUCCUCCUUGACUCAGAGCAAAGAAGAUGGACAGAGCUUGAUCCUAGAGCCAGAUGGCUGAAGACAUGGCAGAAUGACAGCCACAUGAUGGAGUUUUUCCGCAAAGUGUCAGUGGGAGAUUGUCAGAGCUGGCGUAAGAACUUCUUGCUGUACAGGAAGGAAAUGCUGGAGAUCACAGCAACACCAACCACAACCCCAGAAGCAUCACCCUCCAAAGCGACAGUCCUCAGGCCCAGCCUCUGGACCCUCCUGCUCCUCACUGGCUUAGUUCUGCUUUGGCAUGUAAGUGGACCCUUUCAGCACAACUGGUGUUGAAGGCAGCAUUGUGAGGUAAGAGGGAGGCAGAUGGGUGAGGUAGGAGAAUGGGAAAGUGAAUUCCCCAAGUCCAUCCCUGCCCUCUGUGCUGUCCCUUUUUAUACUGGACAGGACCCAAGGAGAAUGAGACCUGUGGGACUCAGUAGAAUGUUCAUCCCUGCCUAGUAACUUCUCAGUAUCUCCCCCAGGGCUCUUAGCAUAAUUAGCAAAUAUGCCCUGAGCACAUGGUCUUGCAGGCCACAGUCCAACUGUCCACCAUCUCCCAUGCC
Molecule: RNA transcript, 829 nt
Organism: Ochotona princeps (American pika)
Lineage: Eukaryota; Metazoa; Chordata; Mammalia; Lagomorpha; Ochotonidae
Gene name: UL16-binding protein 1-like
Exons: 3
Source: RefSeq, a predicted model, not a curated record